This 335-nucleotide RNase P RNA is filed under the name Bacteroidales bacterium. RNAcentral's name for it is "RNase P RNA component class A". It matches the Rfam family "Bacterial RNase P class A". Rfam says of the family: Ribonuclease P (RNase P) is a ubiquitous endoribonuclease, found in archaea, bacteria and eukarya as well as chloroplasts and mitochondria. Its best characterised activity is the generation of mature 5'-ends of tRNAs by cleaving the 5'-leader elements of precursor-tRNAs. Lineage: Bacteria; Pseudomonadati; Bacteroidota; Bacteroidia; Bacteroidales. The record is from RNAcentral.
AAGGUGAGGCGCUCUGUCGGGGAGCACUUUGUGUUCUCAGGAAAGUCCGGACAGCACAGGGCGGCGCGCUGUGGAAAGCACAGAUGGGCGUAAGCUUAUGUUGCGCGUAACAGAAAACAACCGGCCCCGGUUCCGGGACCAAGGGUGAAAACGUGGGGUAAGAGCCCACGGGGAUAUGCGGCGACACAUAUCCGGUACGCGUCCGCGCGCUGCAAGGCCAAAUAUACCGGCACAUAAGGGUUGCCCGCCCUUUGCCGGGGGGUAGGCUGCAUCAGAUAAAUGACAGGGGGGCGCCCCAGCGCUCACAGAACCCGGCUUACAGUCUCACCUUUUAC